AGUCGCACACGCUUUUCCGAUGCAAUUCUGAAUCGAAAACGGAAGAGAAAACGAAGACAGAACUGAGGAACCAAGCGAGAAGAGGAGAAAAAUCGCUUUCGCAUGCGACAAAUUCGGUCGGGAUCAGUGAGUGUGUGUGUGUGUGCGAGUGUAAAUGUUGCUAAAUUUAUAAAUAACAGCACAAGUUGUGCCUGUGCUCCUGUGCUCCCAAAGUAAAUCGGAAUAAAAGCAAAAGUGAUGCGCUCGCCGUGAGGGAAAUGGAGAUGGAAAAUAAGGAAAAUAUCAACGCAUAAAUAAAGCGUUGCCGCGAUCGCGAUCCGCGUCCGAUUCUGUGGCAUUUGCCGGCUGCAUUCCCAAAUAGAUCGGCCAGCUAUAGGCUGUAGUUGCUGCUGUUGUUGUAUCUGUUGUAUCCGAAGGUGCUCAGGUCUAUAUCCCCGACCUGGCGGUGCGUGCCGGUGGAUUAUGUAAAGUGGCACACGAGCGAUCGCAGAAUAUCUCGCCAUCUCGAAAACAAAGAAACCCCCAAAAAAGAGAGUUGGCUCCCUACAGAAGGGAAACUGAAAUCGAAAUAAAAUGGAAAACAAGCAAAAAUAAAACGAGAAUAGGAAAGAUCGCUAGAAAUUCGUCGCACGCGCCCGAUCUCAGUAAGUGCAUCUAAUUUAUUUUGCAUCUAUUGCAAUUGAGAGGCGUUCGCGCGAAUGCAUCCGCCAGAUACGUUUUCGUAAUUGUCGUCAGCGGUUCGAGUUGCGCGAGUGUCCGCCGGAUUGGAUUACCACCAGCCACGGCCAGAAUAAAUACAAGAUAAAUUAGAAAUUUCAAAAAGGCAAAUACAAAGGCUGUUGUGAGGGAUUCAUUUUGAACGGGCCGAUCGAGGAUCCCUUGCCAAGAGCAACGCAAUGUCGUCCUACCGCAGUUAUACUCCCUGGAAAACCAGCCUGGGCAGCUCCUAUAAGCCGGGAAGUUCUUCGUACGGCUCCACCGGAGACUCCACAUCGCGCUACACAUCACUAGCCACGCCAAGUGCCUACAGACCCUCGUUUUCCGGUGGAACUUACCGUCUGAAAAGAGAUCCACCACCGAGCACUGCCAGCACCACUCCGGUGACCAGUUACGUAAGCCGCUAUGCCAAGACAGAUCCUAAAGAGACAGCUUCCAGUGAGCGGACCAGUCCGGUCAAGAGGUAUACGGGUGCAGGCACCAGCACCCUGGCAAAAUACGGACGAUCCCGGGAUCCCAGUCCGGUGGCCUUGGAGCACACAAAUCGGAAUAAGUCCAGGGACCCGAGUCCCGUCAUAGACAGCGCCAGGAGCAAGUUGGGGGCCACAUACCGGGCUGGCAAUACACCUUCCAGUUCAUCCUCAUCCGCCUCCAGAAACGGCUACAGCAGUCGGUAUGGUGGCACGGCCUCUCGGAUCUCGGGAAAUGGGAGUGCCAUAUCCUACCUGACCACCAGUGACUUUCAUGCGAGAACCGCCAGCAGGGCCAAGGCCAGUCGGGAGAGAGAAAGGGAGAAAGAGAAGGAACUGGAGAUUGUGGAGAAACCCAGUGAAAUGGUCUCCCAGGGCAGAGAAAAAUCCACAGAGAAACAGCUGGAGGAACAGGCGACUGUCAAUAAUGAGGUUGAAGCCCCCGAAACUUUCGUAACCAUCUCGGUGGUCACCAGAGCCACAUCACCCACCUUACCGGGCAGCACCACCGUACAGCGCACGCGUCGUAUUGAUCCGGCGAAAACCAUCGAAAAGACUAUACAAAGAUCCACCAAGAGACGACCCACCAUAGAUCAGGAGAUCCAAUCGGAUCGUUUGGACGACUCCACGCGAUAUCUUCGCUACAGUGCAGGCGGCAGUAGUCUCAGUUCUACGUAUAGUCCCCAUCGAGAUCGGAUCAGCAGUUUGCGGUACAGUGCCAGUCCACAUAGCUCGGGAUCGGGGAAGUCCAGUCCAUUGAGUGAGGGAAAACUAAGUCAACCCGCAAUCCCAGAGGCAGUAUCUCCGGCAAGAAAUAAUGGCUCUGUGAGCUCGGCAAAGUCCUCUGAAGCCCUAUCUCCUCCCAGAACCAAUGGCACUGUAAGUUCAGCCAAGUCUUCAGAAGUCCUAUCUCCUCCAAGGAGUAAUGGCUCCUCAAAGUCCCCAGAAGCGGUAUCGCCUCCUAGAACCAAUGGCUCUGUGAGUUCAGCGAGAUCAACGGAGGCCUUAUCCCCUCCCCGAAGUAAUGGUUGUUCUCCAAAAUCCAUAGAAGCAGUUUCUCCACCCAGAUCCAAUGGCUCUUCAAAGUCCACAAAGUCUAAGCUGUCGCCACCGAAAGCCGUUCGCCUGAACUCCCGCCAAUCUUCAGUGGAGAACCUGGUGAACAAGCCACCGGCUCCUCCCAGCAAGGCGGACUCCCCCACCAAGACCUGCAGCUCCAGCUCAGGUAGUUCCGCUGUCAAAUGGCCCAACAAGGAUUUCCGAAAGUCAUCCCUGAACGUGGGACCCACAGACAGGCCAAGGAAGUCGCGGACCCCUAGUAGUGGCGGCGAGUCCGAGGACCUGCCCAACGGGAGUAGUCUAGAGCGCUCACCCAGUGCCGGGUCCGAGGGAAGUCUGGCCUCCGGAGGCUCUUCCAAGAAAUCUGGCAAGCUAAGCAAUGGCAAGGUUUCUGGAGUAGGAGCUGGCACCAAGCCAAAGGCCCACAAAUCCUGCAGCGAAUCCACCACAGGCAACUCAUCCUCGGCCACCGCCUCCGCUUCGGACAGCGAUCAGCAGCGGGUGAAAAGUGUGAAAAAGACGACAAAGAAGAAGACCGCCGCUGGCAAGGUCGCCGCCGCCCACAAGCCUUUAGGAACCACCGCCGCUGAGUCACCACCGCCCGUCGUGGUUGAGGUGGUGCCAGCGACACACACGCGACUGAAGAAGCUCUCGGCGGUGUCGAAUUUUUUCGCCAGCCGUCAGCAAGACGCAAAUAACGAGCCGAUCUUCCUCGAAAGCUCCGAGAGCUCGGGCGAACCGGAGGCUCUUUUGCUGCCGGUAAUCUCGGGAUUCUCGAAGAUCUCGAAGAUAUCGGCUAAUAGUCUGACCACAGACCUGCGAACGAACGAACCGCGAACGACGCCAUCGAGCGAAGCAAACCCAACCUCACCCACGACGAAUUCACUGAGUUCGAGCACACGCUGUCCCAGAGAAACCACCACGGGAUCAGGAACGGGAACCAGAUUGCCUACGAGCACCGUUAGCACCAGGGACACCCAGGACACGAGCCUAACGACCACGGCGAGUUUGACCACUUCGGAACAGGACGAGCCCAGUUGGUGGCAAGACACCAGCUUGCAGAUAAACACAGCCUCUGCUUUGGACCACAACAAUAGGACGGAGAUGCCCCCUUACAGACUGAGGCACAUUGAUUCCGGCGAGGAGCAGGCAUGGUGGCUGCAACGCGACGAGAACGGGGAUGACGACGACACUCUAGCGGAGGAAACCCUGAACACUCUGGACGACGAUGCCCAGGAAGUUAGCAAGGGCACAUGGUGGAGUCAAGAGGAGCAGGAGUCCAGCAGCAGUCAGGUGAAAGCAAUGCCCAGGAGCCGGCUCUCGCCGGAAAAGGAUGCUUGGUGGCUGCAGGAGGAGGAGGGUCACAAAUCUCCCAGGGAAAACGGAGAUCUUAACAACAAUAACAACAAUAGCGAACCCCAUGUAGAGGUUACCCUGAAGUUGCCUUCUAAUGGCAGCCGUAGCUCGAAGAGCGGAGGAGCCUCGAAGAGUACUAAUGGCAGUUCAAAGGGUGGCGGCUCCAAUCCCUGGUGGCUGUCCGGUCCGGCCAAAAAGCUCUUCAAUGUAAAGCGCGUGGAGUCCGGCGAGCGAGCGUGGUGGCAGGAGCAGCCAGAGGAGCCGGCCCACGAAGAAAAGGAGAACGAACCGCCACAAGUGAAGCCGCCAACGCCCCCACCGCGCAUCAUCAAGCACUGGGAGUCCGGUGAAAGAGCCUGGUGGCUCCAAGACGAACCCGAGACCAGCAAGCUCCCAGCUGCGGCCAGCAGCGAUGACGAGGAGCAGGGAGUGUCUCGGGAUGAGGUGGACCUGAGGCAGAGCCACGGCCAACCCAUGAUGGAUGCUCCUCACGAGCUGAGCAGCUCCUUUGACUUUAACGCCUACUCGGAGCGACCGGUGCCGCUGGGUCAGUGCGCCAGUCCCGUGCGCUGUCCCUCGCCCUACGACAACAUUCCAAGGUCGAAGGUGCAGGAGCCCUCACUGCCAAAGCCGCCAACCCCCACCCACUCGCACUCCCUCACCCCACCAUACACACUCCCCACCCUCCAGCCGCGCUUCUCACCGCAAACUCGCCGAGCCGGCGAAAAGCUCUUCAUCUCGCGUCAUCAGAACAUCGAUGAGUUGCUAGGCGGCGCCUGUCGGCCCCUCAGUCCGCUCUUCUACAGCAACCCCAAUCCGGCGGAGAUCGAGCCCACCCCGCUGGCCAGCAAGAACAUGUUCCUCCUGGAGGAGGUGACACCCGAUCAGGUGCGAAUCCACGAUAGCACCGCCCAGCUGCCGGUCAUCCAGCGAAUGCAGCGCGAUGUCGAGUGGUUGGAGAAUGGCAACAGCUUUUAUGAGCCACCAAAGUCACAACAACAGCAUCAGCAACAGCAACAAUCACAACACCAGCAGCAGCAGCAGCAACACCGGAUCGAUGAUGCGGCCAUUCAAGUGUACAAGGAUGGCGACUACGGUGCCUAUCUGGAUCUGGAGUCAUCUCUGGCCGAGCAGACGGAGGAGAUCGAGGGUCUCAAUGCCAGCCGUAAGAACUCUCUGGUGGUGCGAACGCAGCUGAAUGUGCGCGUGCAUGCGAUUAUCGAGAAACUCCUCUCCUCCGAGGGCAGCGACCUGCGGCGGGCCCUCUUCUCGCUGAAGCAGGUGUUCCAGGAGGAUAAGGAUCUGGUGCACGCCUUCGUGGCCCUCGGCGGCCUCAAUUGCCUGGUACGCGUGGGCAAUUGCGCGGACCAGAACUAUCAGAACUACAUUCUGCGGGCCCUCGGUCAGGUCAUGCUCUAUGUGGACGGGAUGAACGGCGUGAUGAAGCAUGAGCCGACGAUGCAGUGGCUCUACUCACUGAUUGCCUCCAAUUACCGGUCCGUGGUGAAGACCGCCCUCAAGCUCUUGCUGGUCUUCGUGGAGUAUGCCGAGUCCAACUGCUAUGUGCUGGUCAGUGCCAUUCACGCGGUGGAUGCCUCCCAGGGCACUCUGCCCUGGUCGAACAUAAUGAGACUGCUUAAGGACUAUGAUAAUGCCGAUGCCGAGCUGGUCAUCUAUGCCACUUCGCUGAUCAACAAAACCCUGGCUGGCCUCAACGACCAGGACAGCUUCUAUGACGAGAGCGAUCUCCUUGAGCAGCAGGGCAUGGAGACUGUGAUACAGCGAUACAUGUCGAAGCCCGGCACCGAUCUGGAUCUGCUCGAUCAGCUGCAACUCUACGAGGCUGUGCUGAAAUUCGAGGAUGGUGAGUCUGAUGGCCAGCGUCUGCCCCAGAACUCAAUGCGGAAGACGCAGCGCUAUAGGCCCGGAGCAAACACCACGGAGAGGCGCAAGUCCCGGCGCCACAGCACUGACAACAGCCCCGCGCCGCUCGCCAAGGUCCUGCCCACCACAGUGCUCCGGAUGACCCCGACCCAGGCCACCCUGGACGAGGACAGCUCCGGUUCCGGCAACUCCACGGAGUUCAGUGGCGGUCUGUUUAACGAAAAGAAACCUCGCGAUGGAGCAGGAGUGACGCCGGGACUCCGCAGAAGACGAGAGCGUGCGGAGCGGCACAAGAGCUUCCUCAAGGAGCAGCAGGAGGCGGCGGCCAAUGGCAUCUUUGCCGCUCUGGAGCAGCGCGAGGGUCUGGGCCAAAUCGUAACCGCUAUUCCCGCAACCGUCCAAGGCGGCGAUAGUCCGCCAGAGUCGCUGCAACACGAGUCCUGCAACAAUGUCAGUGGCAACCUGGGAAACAACAACCUAAGCAACAUCAGUAGCAACGAGACGCCGAACAACAGCCUGCUGCUGAUGAGCCCCAGCAAACAGCUCCUGACCGGCAGCCACAGCAUCUCCAUCAUCAACAACAGCUUCGACAAGGCCAACAACCACAACAACAGCCAGAGCGAGUUCCUCACCAAGAAGAACCUCUUCCGGGAGCGCAACUCCACGGUUAUCAGUGGUAUCAUGAAGAACAUCCAGCAGACGGACAGUGCCUACAAGAAGUACGAGAACGAGGCCAAUCGGCUUAACAACUACUACAGCCAGUCGCCAAAGCACCAGAUUCUGGGGAAGGACCAGCCACCGCCGGAGGUGCUGCUGAGUCCCAAGAAGACCCUGAAUGCCUCGGGAUUCGAUUUCAUCCCGGAACCGUUGAGUUCCACGCCCAUCAAGUGUGAUACAUUGCCCGAACCGGAGCCCCUGAGUCCGGUCCGAAAGCCCGUGGGGGCGCCUCCACCACCACCUCCUCCGCCGCCGCCGCCGCCACCUCCACCUGGCUGGUGGCAUGCUCCCAUCUACAACAGCCCGCCGCCGCCGCCAGCCCGAACCCUAACCAGUACUAACCCCGAGCUGCUGCCGCGUCCCGUGGAUCCGUCAGAUCUGGAGAGCGAGGACAAGCAGCUGCUGCUUCAGCUGAAGCGGGACCACACGGUCAAGGAUCUCACCCAGAAACUGAGCAACCUGCCCACGAGUCCCACGCAGGAGUCGGCCAACCGAGCCAUCGUCGGCGACAUGUCCGGCCUCAUAUCGAAAGCCAAAGAGGGUCUGGCCAAGAGCAAGAGCAAGGGCGAGAUAUCCAGAUCAUCGAGUGUGGACCAGGAGCUUAAGAAGUCGGAGCCCAAGAAGUCAGAGAACGAACUGCACUGGGAGGAGCUGGUGAGGAAUAUGACCCGCCCCCUGAAUCUCUGCGAUUUGGACUUCACGGAUCUCAGGGAUGACGACGAGAAGGAUGUGCUGGCACCAAGGGGACUCGGAGCCGGCAUCCCUCCGCCGCCACCGCCUCUGGGAGGAGCCAUUGCCCCGCCGCCCAUGAUGCCGCCCAGUCUGGCACCGCCGCCCAUGUUUGGCUACGGAGGCAGCCUCACGAACAGUGUCAAUAGUUCGCUUAAUGGCUCCGUCAACGGGGAGCUGGUCAACGGGAACAACACCAUCAAAAAGAACAAGAAGACGGUCAAGCUCUUCUGGAAGGAAGUGCGCGAGGACAUGAUACCGCAGGUGGUGGGCAAGACCAUUUGGGACGAGCUGCCCGAUGCCAACGUGGACACCCAGAAGCUCGAGCAUCUCUUUGAGUCUCGGGCCAAAGACUUGAUGACCAAGAAACAACAAGAGCUGAACAAGAGCAAGGAGAUCAUCGUGCUCGACCACAAGCGCUCCAAUGCCAUCAACAUUGCGAUCACCAAGCUCCCUCCGCCGCGGGCCAUCAAGGCGGCCAUCCUAAAGAUGGACGCCACCGUGGUGACCCGCGAGGGCAUCGACAAGCUGCUCAACAUGCUGCCCACGGACGAGGAGCGCGGCAAAAUCCAGGAGGCGCAGCUGUCCAAUCCGGAGCUGCCGCUGGGCAGCGCCGAGCAGUUCCUGCUCACCCUGGCCUCCAUUUCGGAGCUGGGGGCGCGCCUGAAGCUGUGGGCCUUCCGCCUGGACUUUGACAACAGCGAGCGUGAAAUUGCUGAACCACUGAUGGACCUCAAGCAAGGCAUUGAGAUCCUGCGUCAGAACCGCACCUUCCGCUCCAUCCUCUCCACCCUGCUGUCUGUGGGCAUCUUCCUGAACGGAGCUCCGGUGAAGGGAUUCCAGAUCGAGUACCUGGCCAAGGUGCCCGAGGUGAAGGACACGGUGCACAAGCACUCGCUGCUGCACCACCUCUGUCACAUGGUCAUGGAGUCGAGCAGCGACACAAGCGAUCUCUACUCGGAGAUCGGGCCCAUUACGCGCGCCUCCAAGGCGGACUUCACCGACCUCGCCCACAAUCUCAACCAGCUGGAGGCGGAGUGCAAGGCCUCCUGGGAUCGCCUGAAGCUGAUAGCCAAGCACGACUGCCCGCCACCGUUGAAGCAGAAGCUGGUGGACUUCCUGGCCGACUGUGCCGAGCGCAUCAUCAUCCUGCAGAUCGUCCACCGGCGUGUGAUGAACCGCUACCGGAAGUUCCUUCUGUGGCUCGGAAUGCCGCAGCACAGUGUGGCAGAGUCUCGCCCAAAUGAGUUCUGCCGGACUCUGUCCGAGUUUGCCUUGGAGUAUCGCACCACGCGGGAGCGGGUGCAGCAGCAGCUAGAGAAGAAGGCCAACCACCGCGAGAGGAACAAGACACGCGGCAAGCUGAUCAUUGACAUGGCCAAGUUCAAGACCAAAGAGGAUGUGGCCGACGCCGAGUUGAAAUCACUUCUGGGCACACCCAGUGCAGAUCAGGCUGAUGGCACUCUCACCUGGCGCCGACGUCGCGCGGAACAGCUCCGCUCGCCGAUUGCCCGCCAGAGCGAGGAGCAAUUCACCGACGGGGAUGACGAGAUACUGGAAUCUCUGGUCAAGACCGCCACCAAGGCGCCGGGCACCCGCACCACGCCAAGGGAACGGAAGCGGACGCGACACGCGGAUCGCAAAUCAUUGAAGCGCAGCCGCACGCGCGAAGGAUUCACAGUUGAAAGAGCACCAUCGCCGUAGAACCCGAUACCGUUACCGAUACCGAUACCGAUACUGUUACCGAUACCGUAACCAUUAGUGUUAACCGUAGCCGUAACCGUUGCCAAAAGAACAGCCACUGUUUUUUAGGUUUUACCUUUUUGUGCGUCGCACGCUGAAAAACGGUCUGACCGACGAGGAGAAACAGCACGUGGCUGCCUUGAUACAAACCUAUUAGGAUUAGGAUUAGGAUUAGGAGAGUAUUUCCCCCCUAGAGAACCCCGCAUCCCGCAUCGCACCCGAGAUAAUGAUAACCCGAUCCCAGUGACGUCACAAGUCGGGCAAUGCGCGCACAGACUGAAAUUGGCGAUCUCAGGCGAGCAAGCGAACCCAGAGCCCAAAAUCCAGAAAAUCCCUUUUAUACGACAAGCAAGCAAUCAGCAAAGCAAGAUCAACGAAAAUGUCCUUAAUGAAAAGCGUUUUUCACAGUGUUUUUUUCUGUUAUUUAAACUAUUUUUGUUUUUGCUUCAGAUAAGUAUUAUUAAUUAAACGUAAUUCAAUAAACCUGUAUUAGUAGUUGGAAAACGA
This is an RNA transcript of Drosophila kikkawai, 9182 nucleotides long. It is a transcript of the gene named Formin homology 2 domain containing, with no coding region annotated. The record is from RefSeq and is a predicted model, not a curated record. NCBI's taxonomy places the organism in Eukaryota, Metazoa, Arthropoda, Insecta, Diptera, Drosophilidae.